UACCUGAGGCUGAGUAAUUUAUGAAGAAAGCAGAUUUAUUUGGCUCAUAGUUCUACAUGCUGUACCAGGAGCCUGGUAUCGGCAUCUACUUCUGGUGAGGGCUUCAGGGAGCUUCCACUCAUGGUGGAAGGUGAAAAGGAGCAGGUGUUACGUGGUGAGAGAGGAGAGAGAGGUGCCUGGCUCUUUCAAAAAUCAGUUCUCAUGAACACUCAUAGAGCAAGAACUCACUCAUAAUCUCCAGGAAGGCACCAAGCUCUUCAUGAGGGAUCCGAGGCCAUGACCCAGACACCUCCCACCAGGCCCUGCCUCCAACACUGGGAAUCAUAUUGCAACAUGAGAUUUGGAGGGGACAAAUAUCCAUACUGUAUCAGUGUCAUUUUUGGUACUGGGGACACUCUGGUGGGCUAGUCAGGCAAGGUCCCUACUGUCCUGGGGCUCACCAUAUAGAGGCGAAGUCAGACAUUAAACAAAAAGUACACAUGUGUAAACACACAAUCCACACAUGCACUCCACAUGCACUCCACACACUACAUACACCACACGCACACACUCACAUACACACACUCACAUAAUGGGCCAGCUAGUGUUACGUGCUAUGAGAAAAAAUUAAUAGAGUAAGAAGUAAGAGGAUGUCUGGGUGGUGGGGCAGGGAGGCGAGACCCUGCUGUUUUGCAUGGGUUACCAGGGGAACCCUCUUGGUUGAGCUGACCUGUGAGCAGAGACCCAACCAAGCAAAUUACAGUCAUGUGAUAACCGGGGAAAUGCAGGCAGUUCCUAUGAGCUUUACAACAAUCGGGGGGGGCAUUAAUGGAAUCAAUGGCUUUUAAAAAAUUAAUUUUCUUAAUAGAGAGGGAGUCUGAGGCUCAGAGAUUUAAAAUACUUUGAAGCUGAAUCAGGCUUCUAUCCCAGGCCCUAUGUCGUUUCCCUCAGAGUGCAGCACGAAGAUGUGUGUGAAGGGUUUGGGGUCAGACCCACCUAACUUUGCAUUUCACUUCCUCCAUCUCACCAGCUCAAGGCACCAGAGCGAACUUGAGCAAGUUGUAACCUCUCUGUGUUUACUAAUCUUGUUUACUAAUCUGUAAAAUGGGGAUAAAAAUAGUCCCUACCUCACUGGAUUGUCAUGAGGAUGAAAUGGUUGGCUUAGUAUGUGGCCAGAGGUUGGGGCCCAUUGAUGUAAGCCAUUAUUCUUAUACAUGUUGUCUGUCUUCCUUCGAAGGAGACAGGCUGCAGACUUCCAAGUCACUCUGGCUUAUAUGUAAUGCCCUGCUCUCCUUCGUCUCUUUCACAGGCUCGAGGAGACUUUUCCUGCCGCAGCACAGGCUGUUCUUGCAUGCUGAGACAAGCAGCCUCAGGGUGCAGGGUGGAAUUGCUACACCAUCUCCCUUGGGUGUCUGUUAUCAGGGAUUGAUGGCAGACCCAGCCUAGAGCAUUUGGAGGUGGUCUGAGUGGGGUAUGGGGUGAGGGAGUUUCCCAAAGAGCCAAAGAGUGACUUGCCCUUCCUGAAAACUGUGCCAUAGAAAACCUAAGUUUUGCCUUCCAUCCGACAGCAACUUCCUUUAAAAGCAUCAAGGAAGGGAAACACACAGAGGAGGCGGAGCCAGUUGGAGCUACAGCUUAGGCCCUGAACUGGGAUGCUGGUCCCCUGGGAUCCUGUCUGGAUUUACAGAGGCUGUUUUUUUGAUCAAAAUAGAGGCCUUAAUGGCUUCCUGUUUAGACGUUAUUGCUUUACCAUGAGACCCAUGGGAGAUAGUGUAGCAAUUCUACCCUGCACCCUGAGGUGGAAGAGAUGAGGACACCAGAGUAUUACCUUCUGAGGGUUGGCUGCAUCCUGCCCUGCCUAGUGCUUCUCUGACAACCACAGCUACUCUCUCCAGGCUCUUCCCUCCCCUUUAAACUGAGGGGAGGUAAUGGCUCCUCUGUGUUGCCAGCCCCCGGAUGCUGCACCAACUCUUCUGGGUCUCCUUAACCCUGCUCACACCCUUGUAAAUGCUCCCUAUAAUAAACUCUCCUCGGUUAUCCCCGUUCAGGGCACCAUCUGUUUCCUUCCAGGACGAGCACUCAUAUAAGUCGACAAUGCAUCUGCAUUCUAGAAAAUAAUUCAGUGUUCCAGACAAGAAUAUUGUUGAUUUUUGAAGAAAUUUCCCAUACCUACACUAAAGGAACACCAAAUUUAUUACUGUAUCAGUGAGACAGCUGUUGUGACAGUAAAGUGAGACCCUUGUAGCAAAAGCACUUUUCGGACUCCAUGAUGUUAGGAAACUGCAAAACACCUUCUUCUGAGUCCAGAGACUGGAAAAUGAACUCUUGUGUGGCCUCUAGUACUAGGAUGGCUGAGUUUCUUCAACCUGUUGCAUGCGAAGAAAGUGAAGCAAAGAGAACACAGGCCCUUUUGGUCUGCAAAAGGCAGGUAGCUGCCCUCAUGACCUGACCACAUAGAGGAUGCCAAAAAGUGGGCUCCCUCUGAGAAUAGCAAUGUCCAAAAGAAUAGAGGACAGAGAGAUUGAGAGGAAACCUCAUGAUUCAGAAUGGCAACUCUGCCCUGGCAAAUAUGGUGCAGUGAAUGGAAAACUCUUUUCACUCACCAGUCAGACCAAUCAUUUCUCCUCUCACAGAAUGGAAGGAGUGAGGGAAUGAAGAGAGGAAUAGCAAGUGCUCAGACACAAACUGCUCCUUUCUGAGGCGGGGAAGCAGAAACCCUUUAUCUAUGAGGAUCAAAGGAAAAACGUCCCCAAAUCACAGGCAUUUCUGCGGGAUGUGCAUGGUCCCACAGAGCCCCACCAGGUGGAUAUUUUCCAUGUUGUGAGUACCGGCCUUCCCAUUCCUUUGUUUCUAUAGUUCCUUUUGGACAAGUGCUGCUGUGAGCUUUGUGCCCUGUGUCAUUCAAUCACUUUCUACUCUGCCCCCCUCCCCACCCCGCCACAGUGUCAGGCCCUGAGCCUUUGCCUACCUGCUGUCAGAGCCCUGUGUGGCUUCCUCUCAGGUAGGUGAUAAUGGGGAGUGAGAGCUUUUAAUCAGACAAAUGAAUCAUGCUGAUUAUCCCUAGUUCAAUCAUGGAUUACCCCUGCCAGGGAAUCUCCUGUCUAGUGUUUAAGCCAAUUAAAGGGCUCUGGGGGAGUCCUUGGCUGGGGGUUCAGGAUCAGAGGAGGGCAGGCUAAGGGGAGGCACUGGGGAAGGGGAU
Molecule: long non-coding RNA, 3178 nt
Filed under: Homo sapiens (human)
Lineage: Eukaryota; Metazoa; Chordata; Mammalia; Primates; Hominidae
Description: HSALNT0401063
Source: RNAcentral